This 378-nucleotide unclassified non-coding RNA is filed under the name plant metagenome. RNAcentral's name for it is "partial contains 5.8S ribosomal RNA, internal transcribed spacer 2, and large subunit ribosomal RNA". The stretch from base 1 to 105 matches the Rfam family "5.8S ribosomal RNA", at positions 50 to 154 of the family's 154-position model. The record is from RNAcentral.
GAAAUUCGAUAAGUAAUGUGAAUUGCAGAAUUCAGUGAAGCAUCGAAUCUUUGAACGCACCUUGCGCUCCUUGGUAUUCCUUGGAGCAUGCCUGUUUGAGUAUCAUGAAAUCUUCAAAGUAAAUCUUUUGUUAACUCAAUUGGUUUCUACUUUGGUAUUGGAGGUCUUUGCAGCUUCACACCUGCUCCUCUUUGUUCAUUAGCUGGAUCUCAGUGUUAUGCUUGGUUCCACUCGGCGUGAUAAGUUAUCUAUCGCUGAGGACACUGUAAAAGGUGGCCAAGGUAAAUGCAGAUGAACCGCUUCUAAUAGUCCAUUGACUUGGACAAUACUUUUAUGAUCUGAUCUCAAAUCAGGUAGGACUACCCGCUGAACUUAAGC